RNAcentral lists this ribosomal RNA (253 nucleotides) under uncultured bacterium. RNAcentral describes it as "partial 16S ribosomal RNA". It matches the Rfam family "Bacterial small subunit ribosomal RNA", at positions 524 to 776 of the family's 1533-position model. The record is from RNAcentral.
UACGUAGGUGGCAAGCGUUAUCCGGAAUUAUUGGGCGUAAAGCGCGCGCAGGCGGUUUUUUAAGUCUGAUGUGAAAGCCCACGGCUCAACCGUGGAGGGUCAUUGGAAACUGGGAAACUUGAGUGCAGAAGAGAAGAGUGGAAUUCCACGUGUAGCGGUGAAAUGCGUAGAGAUGUGGAGGAACACCAGUGGCGAAGGCGACUCUUUGGUCUGUAACUGACGCUGAGGAGCGAAAGCAUGGGGAGCGAACAGG